UACGGAGGGUUCUAGCGUUGUUCGGAUUUAUUGGGCAUAAAGGGUACGUAGGCGGUUUAGUAUGUCAGAUGUGAAAGCCCAAGGCUCAACCUUGGAACUGCAUUUGAAACUGCUUUACUUGAGUAUUGUAUGGGAUGGCGGAACUCCUAGUGUAGGGGUGAAAUCCGUAGAUAUUAGGAAGAACACCAGAGGUGAAGACGGCUAUCUAGACAAUUACUGACGCUGAGGUACGAAGGCGUGGGGAGCAAAC
Molecule: ribosomal RNA, 250 nt
Filed under: uncultured bacterium
Lineage: Bacteria
Description: partial 16S ribosomal RNA
Rfam family: Bacterial small subunit ribosomal RNA
Source: RNAcentral